Molecule: non-coding RNA, 45 nt
Organism: Trichobilharzia regenti
Lineage: Eukaryota; Metazoa; Platyhelminthes; Trematoda; Strigeidida; Schistosomatidae
Source: Rfam
AUCCAGCUGACGAGUCCCAAAUAGGACGAGAUGUGCAUCCUGGAU